GGAUGUGAGGGCCAUCUGGCUGCGACAUCUGUCACCCCACUGAUCACCAGGGUUGAUUCGGCUGAUCUGGGUGGCUAGGCGCGUGUCACCUUCCUCCCUCACCGCUCCAUGUGUGUCCCUCCCGAAGCUGCGUGCUCUAUUGAAGAGGAUGGCCUUCCCCAAAUAGAGAGGGACUGGUAGCCGAGUUCCCCUGCUAGAACCUCCAAACAAGCUCUCAAGAUAUACGUGUGUGACAAAGGGUGAACAGAUCAUGUGGGGUAUUGUAGGAAUUUUGAUUUUACUUUUAGAGUUAUCUAGGU
Molecule: unclassified non-coding RNA, 299 nt
Organism: Erinaceus europaeus (western European hedgehog)
Lineage: Eukaryota; Metazoa; Chordata; Mammalia; Eulipotyphla; Erinaceidae
Gene: 7SK
Rfam family: 7SK RNA
About the family: 7SK was discovered as an abundant small nuclear RNA in the mid-70s but a possible function has only recently been suggested. Two independent studies have found that 7SK RNA binds the CDK9/cyclin T complex (known as elongation factor P-TEFb).
Source: Ensembl